UCCCNGGUACCAUCAUAGCUGAUAGCGUG
This 29-nucleotide non-coding RNA is filed under the name Homo sapiens (human). The record is from RNAcentral. Lineage: Eukaryota; Metazoa; Chordata; Mammalia; Primates; Hominidae.